UAGGGAAUCUUCGGCAAUGGACGAAAGUCUGACCGAGCAACGCCGCGUGAGUGAAGAAGGUUUUCGGAUCGUAAAACUCUGUUGUUAGAGAAGAACAAGGACGUUAGUAACUGAACGUCCCCUGACGGUAUCUAACCAGAAAGCCACGGCUAACUACGUGCCAGCAGCCGCGGUAAUACGUAGGUGGCAAGCGUUGUCCGGAUUUAUUGGGCGUAAAGCGAGCGCAGGCGGUUUCUUAAGUCUGAUGUGAAAGCCCCCGGCUCAACCGGGGAGGGUCAUUGGAAACUGGGAGACGUGAGUGCAGAAGAGGAUAGUGGAAUUCCAUGUGUAGCGGUGAAAUGCGUAGAUAUAUGGAGGAACACCAGUGGAGAAGGCGGCUCUAUGGUCUGUAACUGACGCUGAGGCUCGAAAGCGUGGGUAGCAAACAGG
This 429-nucleotide ribosomal RNA is filed under the name Gemmatimonadota bacterium. RNAcentral describes it as "Gemmatimonadetes bacterium partial 16S ribosomal RNA". It matches the Rfam family "Bacterial small subunit ribosomal RNA", at positions 355 to 776 of the family's 1533-position model. Lineage: Bacteria; Pseudomonadati; Gemmatimonadota. The record is from RNAcentral.